Long non-coding RNA from Astatotilapia calliptera (eastern happy), 1169 nucleotides. Lineage: Eukaryota; Metazoa; Chordata; Actinopteri; Cichliformes; Cichlidae. The record is from Ensembl.
AAUGAAAAACAAAACAGAAUCAUUUCACCAAAAUACACAAAUGACAUACUUAGUAAUUAUGACUCUCGUCAAAUUUUAAAGGGUUGAAGUGAGUCACAGUGAUGUGCUUUGAGAAAAGACUUUUCCGAUGUUUUGCUUUUUUGCAUUCUCCUUUUUUAAUUUGUUUUAAAUGAAGUGUUUCUGAUGGGUUUUGGAUAGGUUUGUUUUGGUGCUUUGGCGAAUGUACAAUAAUGUUAAAACAGAAAAUAUAGUUUACUGAGAAAAAGAUUACAGAGAAAAGAAGUCAUCACAGUAUAGGAGGAGACUGGCCCAUCCACCCCAUCCUCUUCUCUAUGCAGACUUUUCAUUUUUCAUUAUUUGCACCACAUAGAAAAGAUAAAGACUGAAACCACGUGAGAUCAUUUGAGCAUAACGCUGGCCUUUCACUGAAACAGUUCAUGCCACUUUUUACGCUCUAUCCUUCCUCCCCGAACUUCUAAUCCCAACCAGUAUAAAGGGAAACAAUUUUUUUUAUUUGUUUAUCAAGAGAUUAUACAAACUUAUAUAUAUUGUAUUGUAUGCAUCUUACAUGACAUCAUUUCUCAAACAUUUCUUUCCCAAUCAUUUUAACUUUUUCUUGUUAAACAAAAGACAAAUUAAAAUACAAGAAACAUCAUGCCGCACACAAGAACCGAAAAUUGAGAAAAAAAAGAAGAAAAAAAUGUGAGUAAAUUAGAAAAAAUGUUAAAUAAAUAAAUUAAAAUUAAACAAUAAAAAAAAAUUUUUCAAAAAUAAAUAAAAGAAUAGAAGGGGAGGGGGGGAUGCUUAAAUCCUAAAUCCUACAUUAAAAAAGAGUAAAUUUCAAAUUCUUUUCAAUCUAGUCACAGGGUGGGUAAAUUGCGUUGUUCUAAAUACUAAGGAAACGAUUUGAGAUAUUCCACAAAGGGUGUCCACUUGUGGAUAAAUUUUGCAGAACUACAUUUCACUGAGUGAGAUCUUCUCCACCCUCAAUAAUGUCCGGACUGUCACGGACCCGGUUCCGGGGACUCGGGGUCCGUGAGCAGUGUGGAGUAUAAUUAUUAUCAUUAUUAUUAUUUGAUGUGUCUUCUUCUCUGUGCUACUAUUCUAUCCACAUUUGUAUGUAGGCAGGUGUGUGUGUGUAUGUGUGUGCAGCUGUUCUCUGUGAGCCA